CAAACCCCUUGAUCCAUCUUAGUCCAAGUAGUCAAAAUAGGGCACAAAUCACCAACAAACAAGCAGAAAAUCUUAGGUUUCAGUUCUAUUUGCCGAGAAACAAUAUCCGUGAACUAAUAAAGACAUGCAAAGGAAAUCCAACAUAAUAUUCAAGACUUACUCUGUACUGUGUCCAUGACUGAGAACAGAAACUGUAGGAAGAAUUUGAGAAUAUCAUAAGAAUCAUAACUGAAUCUCAAACCCUCAAAAUCCCAGCAUAACAUAAGCUAAGGACAAUAAAUACUUCCUUCCCAAUCAUCAAACACUUAGGGUGUUGAUCUUUGUACAUGUGAAGCCAUCAAUUUAUCCAGCAAGAGCAAGCAUGCGAAGCUCACAUUCUUGUUGUCAAGUAAAAAAUUUGUACAUCUUAAACCUAACACUACCUAUUCAUUCCCAUCCACAAGCUGAUAAAACAACUCACUGAAAGAAUUGAGCAUGCUGAAGUCGCAAUCAAGAAGAAUUGGAAUUAAUGCUGAAAGCAGCAGUCAUAAAUAAUCUCUAUCUAUGCAGCCAAUGGGACCCCAGAGACAUAUAGAAGGCAAGCUCCAACUUAUCACCUUAAACUUGAUGUGUUCAUAACAAGAAAUUAUGGCCAACAUAUCAAAUAGAAGUUCUAUAAAUUCUUUCUUUUAAGUAAAAAAUUGUUAAAACUAUUUAGGAAGGUCUGUCCACAUAUUCUCAAAACAAUUAGGGAGUUUCUGGAACAACAUUCAAGCUCACACCAAGCUGAAUAAAAUAACGAUUAGGGCAUAGGGAAACUAGAAAUUAAUCUUUAUCAAAUAAUUGCUAAAGUUAAUGGACCAAAUUCUUUUUAGAUAAUGGAGUCUUUGGAAAAGUAAGUGCAAGCUCAUAGCCAAGCAUUACAGAGCAGACCACUAAAUUACCGAUAUUAUGAAAUGAUCUCACUAUGCUCCAUGGUAUGAUUUCUCAAAACACUGGAAUCAAGGAAAGGCACUAAAAAUCAUAACAACAUUCACUCAAGGAAUCUACUAACAUAAAAAAGAGCGAAUCGAAUAUUAGAAGGCCCUACUGUGUGUCUCCACAAGCCCUCCACAAUCAAUCAAUAUUAGUCCAUUCAUAGAAUCCUGAAAAAUUACAACUAGCUCU
This 1146-nucleotide unclassified non-coding RNA is filed under the name Hevea brasiliensis (rubber tree). The record is from RNAcentral. Lineage: Eukaryota; Viridiplantae; Streptophyta; Magnoliopsida; Malpighiales; Euphorbiaceae.